RNAcentral lists this ribosomal RNA (468 nucleotides) under uncultured bacterium. RNAcentral's name for it is "partial 16S ribosomal RNA". It matches the Rfam family "Bacterial small subunit ribosomal RNA", at positions 29 to 507 of the family's 1533-position model. The record is from RNAcentral.
ACGAACGCUGGCGGCGUGCUUAACACAUGCAAGUCGCACGGAAAGGCCCUGCUUGCAGGGUGCUCGAGUGGCGAACGGGUGAGUAACACGUGGGUGAUCUGCCCCUUAUUUUGGGAUAAGCCUGGGAAACUGGGUCUAAUACUGGAUAGGACCAUGCUGUAGGUGGUGUGGUGGAAAGAUUAGUUUCGGUAAGGGAUGAGCUCGCGGCCUAUCAGCUUGUUGGUGGGGUAAUGGCCUACCAAGGCGUCGACGGGUAGCCGGCCUGAGAGGGUGGACGGCCACAUUGGGACUGAGAUACGACCCAGACGCCUACGGGAGGCAGCAGUGGGGAAUAUUGCACAAUGGGCGCAAGCCUGAUGCAGCGACGCCGCGUGGGGGAUGACGGCCUUCGGGUUGUAAACUCCUUUCAGCCAUGACGAAGCCCUUGUGGUGACGGUAGUGGUAGAAGAAGCACCGGCUAACUACGUG